GGCUCAUGAUGAACGGCUGGCGGCGUGCUUAACACAUGCAAGUCGAACGAUGAUGCUGGUGCUUGCACUGGUGGAUUAGUGGCGAACGGGUGAGUAACACGUGAGUAACCUGCCCCUGACUUCGGGAUAAGCCCGGGAAACUGGGUCUAAUACCGGAUAUGACUUCCUGCUGCAUGGCAGGGGGUGGAAAGAUUUAUCGGUUGGGGAUGGACUCGCGGCCUAUCAGCUUGUUGGUGAGGUAAUGGCUCACCAAGGCGACGACGGGUAGCCGGCCUGAGAGGGUGACCGGCCACACUGGGACUGAGACACGGCCCAGACUCCUACGGGAGGCAGCAGUGGGGAAUAUUGCACAAUGGGCGAAAGCCUGAUGCAGCGACGCCGCGUGAGGGAUGACGGCCUUCGGGUUGUAAACCUCUUUCAGUAGGGAAGAAGCCCCUUUUGGGGGUGACGGUACUUGCAGAAGAAGCGCCGGCUAACUACGUGCCAGCAGCCGCGGUAAUACGUAGGGCGCAAGCGUUAUCCGGAAUUAUUGGGCGUAAAGAGCUCGUAGGCGGUUUGUCGCGUCUGCCGUGAAAGUCCGAGGCUCAACCUCGGAUCUGCGGUGGGUACGGGCAGACUAGAGUGAUGUAGGGGAGACUGGAAUUCCUGGUGUAGCGGUGAAAUGCGCAGAUAUCAGGAGGAACACCGAUGGCGAAGGCAGGUCUCUGGGCAUUUACUGACGCUGAGGAGCGAAAGCAUGGGGAGCGAACAGGAUUAGAUACCCUGGUAGUCCAUGCCGUAAACGUUGGGCACUAGGUGUGGGGGACAUUCCACGUUUUCCGCGCCGUAGCUAACGCAUUAAGUGCCCCGCCUGGGGAGUACGGCCGCAAGGCUAAAACUCAAAGGAAUUGACGGGGGCCCGCACAAGCGGCGGAGCAUGCGGAUUAAUUCGAUGCAACGCGAAGAACCUUACCAAGGCUUGACAUGUUCCAGACCGGGCCAGAGAUGGUCUUUCCCCUUUUGGGGCUGGUUCACAGGUGGUGCAUGGUUGUCGUCAGCUCGUGUCGUGAGAUGUUGGGUUAAGUCCCGCAACG
This 1073-nucleotide ribosomal RNA is filed under the name Glutamicibacter creatinolyticus. Its description in RNAcentral is "bacterial SSU rRNA". It matches the Rfam family "Bacterial small subunit ribosomal RNA", at positions 21 to 1094 of the family's 1533-position model. Lineage: Bacteria; Bacillati; Actinomycetota; Actinomycetes; Micrococcales; Micrococcaceae. The record is from RNAcentral.